RNAcentral lists this ribosomal RNA (463 nucleotides) under uncultured bacterium. Its description in RNAcentral is "partial 16S ribosomal RNA". It matches the Rfam family "Bacterial small subunit ribosomal RNA", at positions 339 to 795 of the family's 1533-position model. The record is from RNAcentral.
CUACGGGCCGCACCAGUGGGGAAUAUUGCACAUGGGCGCAAGCCUGAUGCAGCCAUGCCGCGUGUAUGAAGAAGGCCUUCGGGUUGUAAAGUACUUUCAGCGGGGAGGAAGGGAGUAAAGUUAAUACCUUUGCUCAUUGACGUUACCCGCAGAAGAAGCACCGGCUAACUCCGUGCCAGCAGCCGCGGUAAUACGGAGGGUGCAAGCGUUAAUCGGAAUUAUUGGGCGUAAAGCGCACGCAGGCGGUUUGUUAAGUCAGAUGUGAAAUCCCCGGGCUCAACCUGGGAACUGCAUCUGAUACUGGCAAGCUUGAGUCUCGUAGAGGGGGGUAGAAUUCCAGGUGUAGCGGUGAAAUGCGUAGAGAUCUGGAGGAAUACCGGUGGCGAAGGCGGCCCCCUGGACGAAGACUGACGCUCAGGUGCGAAAGCGUGGGGAGCAAACAGGAUUAGAUACCCUCGUAGUC